CUUUCAAGUCCGAUGCUAAAGACUGGGGCUCAACCCCAGGGGUGCGUUGGAUACUGUGAGGCUAGACGGUCGGAGGGGGUAGCGGAAUUUCCGGAGUAGCGGUGAAAUGCGCAGAUACCGGAAGGAACGCCAAUAGCGAAGGCAGCUACCUGGACGACUUGUGACGCUGAGGCGCGAAAGCGUGGGGAGCAAACCGGAUUAGAUACCCGGGUAGUCCACGCCCUAAACCAUGAGUGCUGGGUGUCCGGCUUCUGCUGGGUGCCGUAGCUAACGCGCUAAGCACUCCGCCUGGGAAGUACGCACGCAAGUGUGAAACUCAAAGGAAUUGACGGGGGCCCGCACAAGCGGUGGAGCAUGUGGUUUAAUUCGAAGCGACGCGAAGAACCUUACCAGGCCUUGACAUGCCCGGAACCCCUCUGAAAGGAGGGGGUGCCCGCAAGGGAGCCGGGACACAGGUGCUGCAUGGCCGUCGUCAGCUCGUGUCGUGAGAUGUUGGGUUAAGUCCCGCAACGAGCGCAACCCCUAUCCCUAGUUGCCAGCAGUUCGGCUGGGCACUCUAUGGAGACUGCCUGCGAAAGCAGGAGGAAGGCGGGGAUGACGUCUGGUCCGCAUGGCCCUUACGGCCUGGGCGACACACGUGCUACAAUGCCAAGGACAGAGCGCUGCUACCUCGCGAGAGGACGCCAAUCGCAAAAACCUUGGCUCAGUUCGGAUUGGAGUCUGCA
Molecule: ribosomal RNA, 725 nt
Filed under: uncultured Thermaceae bacterium
Lineage: Bacteria; Thermotogati; Deinococcota; Deinococci; Thermales; Thermaceae
Description: bacterial SSU rRNA
Rfam family: Bacterial small subunit ribosomal RNA
Source: RNAcentral